Molecule: ribosomal RNA, 520 nt
Filed under: uncultured Acaulospora
Lineage: Eukaryota; Fungi; Glomeromycota; Glomeromycetes; Diversisporales; Acaulosporaceae
Description: SSU rRNA
Rfam family: Eukaryotic small subunit ribosomal RNA
Source: RNAcentral
AGCAGCCGCGGUAAUUCCAGCUCCAAUAGCGUAUAUUAAAGUUGUUGCAGUUAAAAAGCUCGUAGUUGAAUUUCGGGGUUCAUACGUUGGUCGGGCUUUUUGGUCUGUACUGGCGUAAUGGAUUCCUACCUUCUGAAUAACCGGCAUGCCAUUAAUUUGGUGCGCCGGGGAAGCAGGACUGUUACCUUGAAAAAAUUAGAGUGCUUAAAGCAGGCUAUCGCCUGAAUACAUUAGCAUGGAAUAAUGAAAUAGGACGGCAUGGUUCUAUUUUGUUGGUUUCUAGGAUCACCGUAAUGAUUAAUAGGGAUAGUUGGGGGCGUUAGUAUUCAAUUGUCAGAGGUGAAAUUCUUGGAUUUAUUGAAGACUAACUUCUGCGAAAGCAUUUGCCAAGGAUGUUUUCAUUAAUCAAGAACGAAAGUUAGGGGAUCGAAGACGAUCAGAUACCGUCGUAGUCUUAACCAUAAACUAUGCCGACUAGGGAUCGGACGAUGUUAAUUUUUUAAUGACUCGUUCGGCGCCU